GGGGGUGUAGCUCAGCGGUAGGGCGCUUGCCUAGCAUGCAGGAGGUUCUAGGUUUGACCCCCUGCACCCACC
This 72-nucleotide transfer RNA is filed under the name Dipodomys ordii (Ord's kangaroo rat). It matches the Rfam family "tRNA". From Rfam's summary of the family: Transfer RNA (tRNA) molecules are approximately 80 nucleotides in length. Their secondary structure includes four short double-helical elements and three loops (D, anti-codon, and T loops). The record is from Rfam by way of RNAcentral. Lineage: Eukaryota; Metazoa; Chordata; Mammalia; Rodentia; Heteromyidae.